CCCUUAGAUGUCCUGGGCUGCACGCGCGCUACACUGAUGUGUCCAGUAAGCACCUAACCUAUUCCGAGAGGAGCGGGUAACCUUUGCAAAGCACAUCGUGAUGGGGAUAGAUUAUUGCAAUUAUUAGUCUUGAACGAGGAAUUCCUAGUAAGCACAAGUCAUCAGCUUGUGUUGAUUACGUCCCUGCCCUUUGUACACACCGCCCGUCGCUCCUACCGAUUGAAUGUUCCGGUGAGCUCUUCGGACUGCGCGGUCUGCAGUUUCUGCGUUCCGUGCGGAAAGUUGCGCAAACCUUAACAUUUAGAGGAAGGAGAAGUCGUAACA
Molecule: ribosomal RNA, 324 nt
Filed under: uncultured eukaryote
Lineage: Eukaryota
Description: partial 18S ribosomal RNA
Rfam family: Eukaryotic small subunit ribosomal RNA
Source: RNAcentral